UUAGAUGUGAAUCCCCAGGGCUCAACCUGGGAACUGCAUUUCAAACUGGCAAACUAGAGUGUGAUAGAGGGGGGUGGAAUUUCAGGUGUAGCGGUGAAAUGCGUAGAGAUCUGAAGGAAUACCGAUGGCGAAGGCGGCCCCCUGGGUCAACACUGACGCUCAUGUACGAAAGCGUGGGGAGCAAACAGGAUUAGAUACCCUGGUAGUCCACGCCGUAAACGAUGUCUGCUAGACGCUCGGAACCUCACUGUUGUUUUUCACACCUAACGGAUUAAGUAUACCGCCUGGGGAGUACGGCCGCAAGGUUAAAACUCAAAUGAAUUGACGG
RNAcentral lists this ribosomal RNA (328 nucleotides) under uncultured bacterium. Its description in RNAcentral is "bacterial SSU rRNA". It matches the Rfam family "Bacterial small subunit ribosomal RNA", at positions 588 to 916 of the family's 1533-position model. The record is from RNAcentral.